Non-coding RNA from Phascolarctos cinereus (koala), 643 nucleotides. The record is from RefSeq and is a predicted model, not a curated record. NCBI's taxonomy places the organism in Eukaryota, Metazoa, Chordata, Mammalia, Diprotodontia, Phascolarctidae.
GGAAUAUUAGAACAGAACAUCAGAUCCAGGAAGGACCUUAUAUAUCAUACAGGGUACUCCUAAAGAUUUUACCCUGUAUCUCCUGGUCAUGUUCUACACCGUUCUCUACUAGUCUACUAUGGAUUACAUUUGGAGACUCCUGAGUUCAAAUUAGGCCUCAGACACUUACUAGGCGUGUGAAUGUGGGUAAUGGAGAAUAACUCAGUAAACGUAAAAUGAUGAUGUAAUAGGGGUUUGAGAAGUGACUGGCAUACAGGAGUUUGUAGUUCACAAGGGCGGCCUUGAGAGCGGUUUGAGACUAUGGUGAUCUUUGAGCUGGAAAGUAGACUUGAGUCAUGCCUGGGAGUUCUUAAAAAGACACAGAUAGUCUGUGACAGGACAGACUCAGAGGAAGGAAAAAGACAAAAAGAGCUGAGCAGCAUCAAUAACUGUGGAGAAAAUCUCGAGCCCUGCCAAGGACUUAACUUGCCAAGAUGGAAUGGAAUGGAGGUAGAGAAGCAAUCAAUGGAAAAAGAAGUGAAGAGGAAAUGGAGCUGUUGUAGAGAAGUGGAAAAUUAAGCAGUCAUUGGGUGUUCUGAACAACAGACUAAAGCUGAUGCUCUAGGUUAUGGGGACCUUUUCCAGUACUGAAGAAAGUUAUCCC